This is a long non-coding RNA of Cucurbita pepo subsp. pepo (vegetable marrow), 475 nucleotides long. RefSeq lists it as uncharacterized. Lineage: Eukaryota; Viridiplantae; Streptophyta; Magnoliopsida; Cucurbitales; Cucurbitaceae. The record is from RefSeq and is a predicted model, not a curated record.
AGUGUGGGUUGUCAAAAGACGGAGAGUAUUCGGAACGCAUUGGUGGAAACGGGAGGUUCUCUGAUGGACGUUUUCACAAGAUUUCGUCUCUACUUCUCUCGAUGCAGAUUUCUGGAAUUUUUGCAGUUUCAAUUUCAAUCUCUGCUUUCUUUGUUCGUACGAGUUCAUCUUCGUGAUGCAGUUCGUUAAUAGGUUUUCAUUUUUAGUACUGGCGGCCGUUUAUGACAGAUCUCAUUGUCUGGAUCCAAUUGACCUCAAUUUUGGUGGCAUUACUUGCAAGAAGCCAUUCGAAAUUUCAGCUAAAGGAAACGAACUGAAAGUCAUACUCCGUUAGGGCUGCCCGGUGGAGAACUGGUGAAAAUUUAACAGAGAGCACUCGAUGACUGGUACUUACGAAGGAGCUGAAUUCCUAUGGGCACCAACAAAGUGAGCAAAGAGUUGCAAUAAUGGUCGCAACAGUCAUCUUAUGAGGUAC